Ailuropoda melanoleuca (giant panda) is the source of this 441-nucleotide long non-coding RNA. RefSeq lists it as uncharacterized. The record is from RefSeq and is a predicted model, not a curated record. The transcript is spliced from 2 exons. Lineage: Eukaryota; Metazoa; Chordata; Mammalia; Carnivora; Ursidae.
UAGAAGCUAACUUUGUCAUAAAAGGUCAACUUCUUCAAAGCAAAACCAAGGAAGGGCGUGGUAGAGUAGAGGGGAGGAAAAGACAACAGGAAUGAAGUCAUGCAGGCAGCAACUGGACUCGAAUACACCAAGCCUCAAAUUGUCAUUGACCACCUGCUCCCCACGCCCCAGCCUCUGCAGCCCCUGCUCCUCACUGGCAGCCCCGGUCUGCCCCCACCUCAGCGACAUUAGUUGAUCCUGGAGGAUCACAGCGGUCUUUUUGCUGAAGCACCUGACCUCCUCUGUCUCCUCCCUAAAGCCCGCAUGGGUUUUCCUCUGGGUUCUCUGAGCCCCUUCCAAAGAUCGAAGCCACGCUCCAACGCUACUCUUUCCAAGUCCGUCCAUUGCCGAACAAUCCUCAAAUGUGUUAUGUUAUUGGAAAUAAAACCCGUAUUUCCUUCA